Molecule: non-coding RNA, 424 nt
Organism: Vigna umbellata (rice bean)
Lineage: Eukaryota; Viridiplantae; Streptophyta; Magnoliopsida; Fabales; Fabaceae
Source: RefSeq, a predicted model, not a curated record
CUCUUCCUCUCUGCGUGCUCUUUCAGCUUCCUCAGAAAACCCGCUGAUAGUUUCUCUAAGGUUAUGUUCCAAUACAGUAUUCGACACUCCCCCUUAAAAAUUGAUGUUUUGUUGGAAUCUGUCAGCUCACCAGUUGAUCAAGAAAGCACAGCUUGUGAUGUUGAGAUGGAUGGUUGAUUGAGCAAGCUCUCUGGAUUGCAUCAGUUUUUUUAUCCUGAGUGCAAUGUUAAAGUUUUCACAUUAAAUUUUUGGUUCAUUAGGAUGCAUGUUUCUGUGAAAGCUUCAAUAAUUUAUAGAGGAUUCAGAAGAUUGACGCGCACCACACGUACCGAGACACAGUUGUAAUAACCAUACCUAAAUUGUAAUCUGUAAAUGAAAUUUCUUCUGCCCAGAUGGGUGAGUUGUGCAUACGCAAUAAUGUUAU